This 530-nucleotide ribosomal RNA is filed under the name Trichonephila fenestrata. RNAcentral's name for it is "bacterial SSU rRNA". It matches the Rfam family "Eukaryotic small subunit ribosomal RNA", at positions 537 to 1067 of the family's 1831-position model. Lineage: Eukaryota; Metazoa; Arthropoda; Arachnida; Araneae; Nephilidae. The record is from RNAcentral.
GCGAGGACCUACUGGAGGGCAAGACUAAUGCCAGCCGCUGCGGUAAUUUUAGCUCCAGUGGCGUAUACUAAAAUUGUUGCGGUUAAAAAGCUCGUAGUCGGACAUCCGCUCUGUACGCAGGGGGCCGCUAGCGCGGUCGUCCAUGCGCAACCGGCAUGUUGCCCUUCACGGAGGUGGAUUUUAAAAGGUCUGCCGAAGUGGAAGGCGGUGAUCGCUUUGCGAAAAUUAGAGUGCUCCAAGCAGGCGUGCAAGCUCGAAUAGUAACGCACGGAACGAUGGAAGACGACCCCGGCUCUCGGUUCUUUGGCGUGGAGAGGGACCGGGGUGAUGAUCAAUAGGAGCAGACGGGGGCAUUCGUAUUCCGGCGCUAGAGGUGAAAUUCUUGGACCGCCGGAAGACGACCCACUGCGAAAGCAUUUGCCAAGAAUGCUUCCCUUGACCAAGAACUAGAGUUCGAGGCUCAAAGAAGAUUAGAUACCUUUGUAGUUCCGACCCCAAACGAUACCGGCCAGCGAUCCGGCUGCGUACGU